CCUACGGGAGGCAGCAGUGGGGAAUAUUGCACAAUGGGGGAAACCCUGAUGCAGCGACGCCGCGUGAGUGAAGAAGGAUUUCGGUACGUAAAGCUCUAUCAGCAGGGAAGAAAAGGACGGGACCUGACUAAGAAGCCACGGCUAACAACGGGCAAGCAGCCGCGGUAAUCCGUAGGGGGCAAGCGUUAGCCGGAGUUACUGGGGGUAAAGGGAGCGGAGACGGCAGGGCAAGUCUGAAGUGAAAUCCCCUGGCUUAACCAUUGAACUGCCUUGGAAACUGUGCAGCUGGAGUGCAGGAGAGGUCAGCGGAAUUCCUCGUGUAGCGGUGAAAUGCGUAGCUAUUAGGAGGAACACCAGUGGCGAAGGCGGCUUCCUGGACUGUCCCUGACGUUGCGGCUCGAAAGCGUGGGGAGCAAACAGGAUUAGAUACCCUAGUAGUC
This 440-nucleotide ribosomal RNA is filed under the name uncultured bacterium. RNAcentral describes it as "partial 16S ribosomal RNA". It matches the Rfam family "Bacterial small subunit ribosomal RNA", at positions 338 to 795 of the family's 1533-position model. The record is from RNAcentral.